CGGCAACAGAUUGGCAAAACGCUGGCCGGUUCUCCCAGGAUGCUCCGCUCACCUCAUCUGGUAUAAUUUACCACCCCAUGAUGAAAUGACGAGUGGCAAUCUGUAUCUGAUCAAAUCACACAGAGAGACAGGUGUACAGGUAACUGGCGUCCUGUCUGCUGUGUGUCAGUCAUGUCUGCUGAGCUGCGGUUGAAGAAUGAGCGGUGGCGCCCCACUGUCUUCGAGGAGAGCAGGAUCAAAGGCUGCAGCAGAGAGCGAGUGUACUUUAAAUGACACAGAGAGCGAGGCGGCGUUCACAUCAGACAAUAAUCCACUGCUAAAUAAAUCCUAUGAGCAGAAAUCAA
Molecule: long non-coding RNA, 344 nt
Organism: Micropterus dolomieu (smallmouth bass)
Lineage: Eukaryota; Metazoa; Chordata; Actinopteri; Centrarchiformes; Centrarchidae
Exons: 2
Source: RefSeq, a predicted model, not a curated record